Molecule: long non-coding RNA, 2667 nt
Organism: Apis laboriosa (Himalayan honeybee)
Lineage: Eukaryota; Metazoa; Arthropoda; Insecta; Hymenoptera; Apidae
Exons: 3
Source: RefSeq, a predicted model, not a curated record
GUUUCGAUCUGUGAUAGAAGACCCUAACAAGGUGAUAGAAGACCCUAACAAGGUGAUAGAAGACCCUAACAAGGUCUUCUAUCACCGGUCAACUUCGCAUUAACGAAUUAUUUACAUAUUAACGAUUCAAUGAUACUAUUCAAUGAUACUAAGGAAAAAAUAAUACAAAUGUCGCCAAAAAUAACUAAGGAAAUAAAUAAAUAAAUAUACUUUUACAAACUUACCAGAAAUAUAGUCUGGAUCGGUGCGAAGCGUAUUCGCCCAGUAUCAACAACCCUCGAUGUGAAGAACGGCAGAAAGUUAGACGCCUACAUGCCAUGCAUACGACGCGUAAACGCUCUAAUGGACACUACGACAGCGUGUGAUAUGGAAUAAGUACAAUUGUUCAGCAGACUGCGUGACGCUAUACACCGUGGGCGUGGCAAAAUCAAGUUGUUAAUAAAGCAAUCUAUCAUAAUACAAAAAAGUGUAUCGUUCUAUAUUCAAGAUGUUAUGAUAUAGAAAUAAUAUCACAAGAAUAAUGAAAAAGUCACAUACAACACGAGCUUACACGAGCACCUACCUACAUUGUAAUUUCGCGUAGAUUACAUACGAAAUGAAACCCAGAGCCACAUGGAAGAAAUCAUUGGCGAUGACAAUUACGAAUAGAUUUUAAUCCUCGUGACACGACGGUAGCAGAAAAUUUUACCUCUUCUUUGAAGCAGUUUUGUAGGCUGCUUGAAGGUAUAGUGCAGCCAUUGGAGCUCAAGCUGCCGCGUAACCUGUUCUCAUUUUUAUCGUCAGCAUCAGGUUUCAGCGCAGGUGAGCUGCGAAGGUGCUGAGCCAAGUCCAGCGAACCAGCUCAUGGUUCUCGAGCAUUUCCUUCUCCCUCGUCAUAGAAACGCAUUGACCUUCAGGACAAAAUGCCGACGAUCAAUGCAAACGUUGCACCGUAUUAUCGUUAUUUGAGAAUAUAAUCAGAAUUAUACGAUUGCCUAACAACUAUUAAACUAAUUACGACAGCGUUUUACCCUUCGUGAAAUUUAAAGCCAUGCUCAGGAACAGUCUGCUUCUCCAAUCCAAUAAAAAAAAAACUUGAUGGAUACUAAGAAAAAAGAAAAGAAUUCCCAAAUAUAUAUAAUUAAUAUUCUUAACUUAAUUUAAUAAUUGAAUGUCCAAACAAAAGAAAUAAUUUAAAAAGAAAUUUUCAGCCUUUGAUAAUUCGUAUAUCAUAUAUUUCUUUAUUAUAUAUUAAAAAGAAAUUUUUAUUUCAAGGAACUUGUUGUAUUUCAGUACAUUUGGGGAAAAUUUUUAGCUUGACAAAGGACGUGCAAUUGGAUCGUAUAUAAUUAUUAAUGGACAAAACACGCAGAAAUGUUUUACUGUCAUUUCUAUAGGAUUUUAUUAACAUUGUUACUUCAAUAGCAUUAAUUACAGAUACCAAUUUGCAAUGAUCAAUACUAACUAAAAGAGAAAAAUGUUUUAAAAAAAAAGGAAAUGAGAUUACGAGUAUAUAUAUAAUUUCGAUUUUUAGAAAAGUAUGACAAUGAGCGGCUGCAUUAUUUAAAUACAAUUCUAUCACUUUAACGAAUGUAAUGUAUAUGACGACCAAUCGUUCAAACAAAAGGAUAAAAAUGAUUCCUAUGAGAAAUGAUUUAUUCGAUAAAUGAAUAACGUUAAAACAAGCUGUAUUGAACAAUGCGAGCUUGUGUAUAUGAUUUACAUACAUAAUAAUUAUAUAUUAUUUUAGACUUCGCAAAGAUUAAUAAAGUAUUUCGCAAUGCAGUACGCUCAAGUCAAGUGCGAUCGAAGUAUAAAAUCUUAAAACAACCCUAAUCGGGUGCCCAGCAAUGUGUUUCAGACUAUGCAUUCUACACAAUCUCAUAAGAAAUAAUGUUAUUUCGGCUGGUAUUAUAUCUUUAUGCGCUAAAUAAAACAAUAAUUUCAUUAUUUACUCCGAAAUAAACGAUACUCAUCUUUCUUCUCUUUCUUCUCUUUCCUGUGUUAUAAUAAUUUUGUAAUGAACUACGUGUUAUUUAUUUAUCAAACAACUAAUCAACUAAUUCACUUUGUGACUACAUUUUGUGAUACAUAUGACAUAUGACUAACGAUCGAUUCAAGGGAUCUUGUAAUCUCUAUCAUUGUUAUCUCCUCCCUCCCAUCUCUUUAACCUAUCUUCUCCCGUAAGUACAUUAGAUACGACCGAACAGAACAUCGAGUAUAUUAUUUCUAAUAUUUCACUUACACGCUAAUAUGUACAGUUAUGAAUACCGCACCGUGAUUCGCGUGAUACCCAAAGAAAAAAAAAAAAGACCAUUGAGUACCAUUCUACCAGCACGAUGCAAUUAUGAAAGACGAAAGUGCUGUUCAAAACCGGUCGAUUGCUUGACGCGUAUUGAGAGACAGAGUAGGACAAUAAAAAAUAGUAAAAGAAAUGAGCGAGAGAAAGAGAGAAAGAGAGAAACACACGAUGGAAAACGAGAAUGAAAGUAGAAGAAAGAGGGGACACGUAUGCGUUCGAAAUAUGCUGUACAAAAGUUAUUUUUUAUCCAGUUUUAUAUACGACCAAAUCUAUUUUUCGUCGAGCACCGAUGAUCAUUUUGUUAUUCUAUAUAUGUAUAUGUUGUUUUUACUAAGUUUACUAUAAAAUUCGCUCUUUGAAAUAUUCGCCGUCUAUAAAACUGGAUA